Molecule: transfer RNA, 76 nt
Filed under: Pseudaquabacterium terrae
Lineage: Bacteria; Pseudomonadati; Pseudomonadota; Betaproteobacteria; Burkholderiales; Sphaerotilaceae
Description: tRNA-Ala
Rfam family: tRNA
About the family: Transfer RNA (tRNA) molecules are approximately 80 nucleotides in length. Their secondary structure includes four short double-helical elements and three loops (D, anti-codon, and T loops).
Source: RNAcentral
GGGGGUGUAGCUCAAAUGGAAGAGCGCCUGCUUUGCAAGCAGAGGGUCGUCGGUUCGAAGCCGACCAUCUCCACCA